GGGUUCUGCUAUCACUCUUGGAUGGGACCCUGCGGUGCAUUAGCUAGUUGGUAGGGUAAACGGGCCUACCAAGGCGAUGAUGCAUAGCCGAGUUGAGAGACUGAUCGGCCACAUUGGGACUGAGACACGGCCCAAACUCCUACGGGAGGCAGCAGUAGGGAAUCUUCCACAAUGGACGCAAGUCUGAUGGAGCAACGCCGCGUGAGUGAAGAAGGGUUUCGGCUCGUAAAGCUCUGUUGUUGGUGAAGAAGGACAGGGGUAGUAACUGACCUUUGUUUGACGGUAAUCAAUUAGAAAGUCACGGCUAACUACGUGCCAGCAGCGGUAAU
This 329-nucleotide ribosomal RNA is filed under the name uncultured Lactobacillus sp. RNAcentral's name for it is "bacterial SSU rRNA". It matches the Rfam family "Bacterial small subunit ribosomal RNA", at positions 202 to 524 of the family's 1533-position model. Lineage: Bacteria; Bacillati; Bacillota; Bacilli; Lactobacillales; Lactobacillaceae. The record is from RNAcentral.